ACUUUAUGCUCUUUCAUAAUCCUCACUGAUCAGAAUCUCAAAAUCCCUUUAAAUUGUUCUAUGUACAAGAAUGGAGACAUACAAGGGAAUGUUUGGCAGAUGAGAAUUUGUAGGCUGAAGCUGAGAGAAUGCAUAAUUUAUCAUAAUUUAUUUAUAGUAAUCCAUCACGUAUUAUAUUUCAUCAUUUGAAUUUUUUUCUCAAUAAGAAGCCACUGCUAUUUGCAUCUCUCCUUCACUGAUCGGAUGGAAAGUCACUCGCUUACGUGCCCUGACACUUUCGGUCUCUGCUCUGCCAUGGCCGUUCUUCCAAUGCAGUUGUUGUUGUGGGGCAAUUUCACUGGAAUUUUUACCUCCUUUGUUUGCCAUGCAAAGAUCCACAAUCUUAGCAGCUGCCUCUGCCUCGUCCUUGCUUUCUUGCACUAACUUCUCUACUUGUGCCUUGGGCAACCUCAUCUUCACCCUCAUUGCACCGCUUUCCUCGGGGACAAUGCUGCUGCUGGAGGAACUAGGGUUUAUUAUCGAAAGAUCAGAUGUUGAUCUUCUUGCUAGCAUUAGGUUCUCGAGCCUGUCUUUAGCACUCAUGGUAAUCUCCGACCGAACCCUUCUCGUUGUUUUCUCUGUUGAAGCUUUUGGGAGCUCUACUAGGAAAUAGAGCCUCUUGGGCACCAACCCCUGGUGUGGUUCCAGAGGCUUUGCCCUAAUCCCAUAAUGCUUAACUGCCUCUGAUUCUAGGAGAACAAGACCUGGAUAGUCCUUAAUCACCUCACCGGCCUUCACCGGCGUCUUUAACUUGAACGUUUCCCCGCUUAUCUUCAUGAUCUUUACAGUCUGUUUCCCUCCUAAAAUGUUGCCCAUGGUUAGCGAACUUCUUGUUUUAAAUAAUUUGAUGCUAUAGAGAGCUAGAAUUACUG
RNAcentral lists this unclassified non-coding RNA (911 nucleotides) under Hevea brasiliensis (rubber tree). The record is from RNAcentral. Lineage: Eukaryota; Viridiplantae; Streptophyta; Magnoliopsida; Malpighiales; Euphorbiaceae.